This 392-nucleotide ribosomal RNA is filed under the name uncultured bacterium. Its description in RNAcentral is "bacterial SSU rRNA". It matches the Rfam family "Bacterial small subunit ribosomal RNA", at positions 28 to 420 of the family's 1533-position model. The record is from RNAcentral.
GACGAACGCUGGCGGCGUGCUUAACACAUGCAAGUCGAGCGGUAAGGCCCUUUCGGGGGUACACGAGCGGCGAACGGGUGAGUAACACGUGGGUGACCUGCCCUCAGCUCUGGGAUAAGCCUGGGAAACCGGGUCUAAUACCGGAUAUGACUCCAUGACGCAUGUUGUGGGGUGGAAAGCCUUGUGCGGCUGAGGAUGGGGCCCGCGGCCUAUCAGCUUGUUGGUGGGGUGANGGCCUACCAAGGCGACGACGGGUAGCCGGCCUGAGAGGGCGACCGGCCACACUGGGACUGAGACACGGCCCAGACUCCUACGGGAGGCAGCAGUGGGGAAUCUUGCGCAAUGGGCGAAAGCCUGACGCAGCGACGCCGCGUGAGGGAUGACGGCCUCGG